CCUACGUGUGGCAGCAGUGGGGAAUAUUGGGCAAUGGGCGCAAGCCUGACCCAGCAACGCCGCGUGAAGGAAUAAGGCUUUCGGGUUGUAAACUUCUUUUUUCAGGGAAGAGUAGAAGACGGUACCUGACGAAUAAGCCACGGCUAACUACGUGCCAGUAGCCGUGGUCAUUGCUAGGUGGCAAGCUGUUACCGGAUUUACUGGGUUUAAAGGGCGUGUAGCCGGGUUGACAAGUCAGAUGUGAAAUCCUGCGGCUUAACCGAAGAACUGCAUUUGAAACUGUUGAUCUUGAGUACGGGAGAGGCAGACGGAAGGCCUGGUGUAGCGGUGAAAUGCGUAGAUAUUAGGAGGAACACCAGUGGCGAAGGCGGUCUGCUGGACAGCAACUGACGGUGAGGCGCGAAAGCGUGGGGAGCAAACAGGAUUAGAUACCCGAGUAGUC
Molecule: ribosomal RNA, 442 nt
Filed under: uncultured bacterium
Lineage: Bacteria
Description: partial 16S ribosomal RNA
Rfam family: Bacterial small subunit ribosomal RNA
Source: RNAcentral